CACAGCUUGAUGACCAAGUUGAAAGCCGUGGUGGGACGGAGGAGUCAGAGUCGGACGACCCUGCACAGUCUGAUGAAUCAUCGACACUUGCACAGGGCCCACAGGCCCAUAAUGAAGGUGACGAUGAAGGCACUGGUGGUACGGAGGAGUCUGAACAGGCGCAGUCUGCUGGUGAUGGAACUGAAAUAACAAGUAGGGAC
This is a long non-coding RNA of Bombina bombina (fire-bellied toad), 200 nucleotides long. RefSeq lists it as uncharacterized. Lineage: Eukaryota; Metazoa; Chordata; Amphibia; Anura; Bombinatoridae. The transcript is spliced from 3 exons. The record is from RefSeq and is a predicted model, not a curated record.